GCCCUCAUGGCGCAGUGGUUUGACACGCGGUCGCGCAUUCAACCCGGGCAAGAAAGCACUGCGCGUGGGUUCGAGUCCCAUUGUAGUCA
Molecule: non-coding RNA, 89 nt
Organism: Hypoxylon sp. FL0543
Lineage: Eukaryota; Fungi; Ascomycota; Sordariomycetes; Xylariales; Hypoxylaceae
Source: the annotation of a GenBank genome assembly